GACGAACGCUGGCGGCGUGCUUAACACAUGCAAGUCGAACGGAAAGGCCCCCUUGUGGGGUACUCGAGUGGCGAACGGGUGAGUAACACGUGAGUAACCUACCCUUGACUUUGGGAUAACCUCAGGAAACUGGGGCUAAUACCGGAUAGGAGCUCCUGCUGCAUGGUGGGGGUUGGAAAGUUUCGGCGGUUGGGGAUGGACUCGCGGCUUAUCAGCUUGUUGGUGGGGUAGUGGCUCACCAAGGCUUUGACGGGUAGCCGGCCUGAGAGGGUGACCGGCCACAUUGGGACUGAGAUACGGCCCAGACUCCUACGGGAGGCAGCAGUGGGGAAUAUUGCACAAUGGGCGGAAGCCUGAUGCAGCAACGCCGCGUGCGGGAUGACGGCCUUCGGGUUGUAAACCGCUUUCGCCUGUGACGAAGCGUGAGUGACGGUAAUGGGUAAAGAAGCACCGGCUAACUACGUG
This 465-nucleotide ribosomal RNA is filed under the name uncultured bacterium. Its description in RNAcentral is "partial 16S ribosomal RNA". It matches the Rfam family "Bacterial small subunit ribosomal RNA", at positions 28 to 507 of the family's 1533-position model. The record is from RNAcentral.